Molecule: long non-coding RNA, 996 nt
Organism: Pezoporus flaviventris
Lineage: Eukaryota; Metazoa; Chordata; Aves; Psittaciformes; Psittacidae
Exons: 2
Source: RefSeq, a predicted model, not a curated record
UUUCAUGCAACUUUUAGGGCCAUCCUAUUUGUGACACCUGUGCUCCACCAUCACCUUUGACUGAAAUUAUCCAUGGGCUUCAAAAGUUAUAAUGGCAUAAGGGAUGAAGAAUGAGAAGGAAUCUCAGACCAGUACCAGUUCCUGAUCCCUCAAGAAAAGGCUCCUUCGGGAAGUGCCUCUUGCCAGGGGUGAAAGUGGAGACCAAGCGCUGAAGCUGUUCGGCCAGCCCCAUGCCUUGUGUGCAGAAACCCGGCGUUUGACUCGCCGUGCCACGGGCAUCCCCAGCUCUCAAAGCUUGCCGGUAACGCCUGGAGAAAGAAUGCGGCAAGGUUAAAGCCGUGCCGAUACGGGUGGCGCUGGGGGGAAUCCCGUCCCUUCCUCACAGGCCAGGGGCCCGCCCCGCUGGGCAGGCCGGUAGCCACUUCCCCACGGUGCUGCUGGGGCGGGCGGACCAGGUGCCGGUGAGUCCCCGGUGUCGGUAUUGGUGCCUGCGGCAGAGGUAACAGUGCCACCUGGUGAUGCUCGCCUCCUCCUCCGGCUCUUUACAACGGGUCUACCCGCGGAAAUAACUCGCUCCAAUCCCAGGGGGAAGUAACUACGCAGCGUGUCAAAAGGUAUGUCGUUCUGAUUUCAGAAACGCAGGAAACUUAUUAACGGCAAAAGCUCUAUCCCGAGUGAUGCCAUCAUGGAUAUACCCAGAGAAACACAACUGCUGCGAUUCUGAUUACAGGUUUGGUGUCUAAAACGUUUGAUGCUCCAAAGCGCUGCAGGCUUCGCAUUCCCACUGGAUUCACAUGGAGGGAGAUUGUCUCUCACAGGAGGGAUGCAGCACCUGGUAGGAAGUUCACGGUCCUGCACAUGGCCUAUCUCAUUAUCAGAUCCAUUAGUUAAUAUUCCAAAUUUUCCCACAUACCACCAUGAUGGUGGUUCUAUUAAGAAUAUGUUGAAGCUUAUUACAACAUUAUCUCUGCAUAUUAAAUAAAAUAAAAUGUAUUC